GCGCCAGCCACGAGGGAGCGUCCGCGGCCCGCGCGCCCGCGCGGCGGAGGAGAGGUGUUAAGUGUGAUGCUUCCAUAAUACAUUUGGAUGUUGUCAGCUAAGUUCACUUCUGAACUAAGGGGUUCCUCCAAAUGUUGGCUGAAAUUCAUCCCAAGGCUGGUCUGCAAAGUUUACAAUUCAUAAUGGAGCUACUGUACUGGCUAUUGGAAGGAGGAGAUUCUGAAGAUAAGGAGGUAAAACCUGUUUAGAAAUUAAAAAUGAGUUACGAUUUAAAGAAAAUUCAGAUGACUCAUUGUGAGUGCUAGUUCUCUUGUAGGAUGCCACUGGAAAUGUUGAAAUGAAAAAUAUUCAGCCGUCGGUCUUUGAAAUUUCCUGUGAUGUGUUUCAAUCGAGAUGCAAAGAACAUGGAAAAAUCAAAGUGCUCAAGUGGUUUAAAUAUGUUUUGGAUGUUCCUGUUUAUAGACUAUAAUACUUUUCCAAUUAAAAUCCUCAGUUGUCACGCAGAAGAAGGUUAAGCUGUAUUUGAUUGCCAGUUUUACUGAAAAUGCUUAGUAUUUUACAGUAUCACCAAAUAUAUUUUGUUUAGCCAAGGUAUAGGAAAAAUAAAAUAAAUUGUAUAGGUUGACUUUUUUCUAAAAUGUCUUUAUUGGAUAGAAUGAAUGUUUAUACCUGAAAAAA
This 678-nucleotide long non-coding RNA is filed under the name Pan troglodytes (chimpanzee). RNAcentral describes it as "long non-coding RNA NONPTRT006333". The record is from RNAcentral. Lineage: Eukaryota; Metazoa; Chordata; Mammalia; Primates; Hominidae.